Long non-coding RNA from Cyanoderma ruficeps (rufous-capped babbler), 4860 nucleotides. The record is from Ensembl. Lineage: Eukaryota; Metazoa; Chordata; Aves; Passeriformes; Timaliidae.
GAGCNCGCACUAACGCCCUGUCGUCCUUUUCUUCCCCGUGUGUGUCCAAGCAGAGCAGAAGAGCUACAAAGAGGACAAGGACCUGCGGUUCAGCGACCUGGAGGAGGAGGAGGAAGAGGAGGAGGAGGCGGGGAAGCCGGAGAAGGGCCGGACCAGCUCCCUGCAGGAAGCCCCCAGCCUGGGCGCGGCACUGCCCGAGGCUCCGCGGAGCGACUGCAGCCUGCCCGGCCCCUUCCACGCCUUUCCUUGUGCCAAGGCCCCCUCCGCGGACUUCGCCCCCGCCUCCUUGGCCGGCCCGCCGCCGCCCUACGCGCCCGCGGAGAAGCCGCGCAUCUGGUCGCUGGCGCGCACGGCCGGGGCCAGCGCGGCGCACCGGGGCAGCCCCGAGGGCCGCGGCGCGGAGGGAGGCGGCGGCGCGGCGGGGGAGCAACCCCUGCCCGCCAAGGCCUUCCGGAGCUCCGCUUUCAACCUGCAGCCGCUCCCGCGAAGCUGCGCGUCCCACCGCGGCCUGGGGGAGCCGUGCCAGUUCGCGGCGGCGGGCGAAGGUACCCGCGGCGGCGGGGCCGCGGGGACGGGCGGGACCGCGGGCCGGGCCGGGACACAGGGCGCGGCGUGAGCCCGCCCACGCAGUGACACCCCCGGUGUUCGGCCGUGCCCAGGUGUCAAGUGCAGGACGCCGAGGCUUCCCCGCUCCAGGCGAGCGGGCAGGGGAGGACGGGCGGGACCCGGGCCGUGCCCACCGCGAGCCGCUUGUGUCUGUGCAGGCUUCGGGCGGGGCGCCAAGGGCGGCCCGGGAGGCACCGAGCUGGGUGGGACCUGCCUGGACAGGUUGCGGACGGCGUUCCGGCCCGUGCUGCGGAGGUGAGGGCCGCCCGCCCCAUCCUGGGCGCUGGCGAGGGGGCUCCGGCUGUAACGAAGCACUCGGCUUGACGCAACGAAAGAAACCUCUCCCCGGGCCGGCGAUAGCGUCGCGGCUCCGCCUGCCCUGCCCUCGCCGGGGAAGGGCCGCCGCGGCACAACGUGCUGCGCACAUGGGGCCGAGGGGCACGGCGGGCGGGGCGGCCGCAGGACCGGCGCCUCCCCGCCGCUCGCCGCCAUUCAAUAUUGUCCGUCGACGUCUUUGCAAAAAGGAAGAAAAAACCCCACCCUAAUAUUUUCUCUUUUUCCCCCACGUCGUGAUUUGUUUCUCCUUUUCCUCCCAAACCUGCGCUCUCUGCUCAGCGCCCUGCUCUGCCAAGGGGCACCAGUUUGCAGUUGCUCCGCGCCAUCCCGGGGAGGAGGAGGAGGAGGAGGAGAAGCGGCGCAGGUUACGCCGGACUGUUUCUUUCCCGUCUCUGUACAUAGAUACCGCUGAAAGUAUUUUUCAGAGUCUCUAAUUAAUACGGAUGAGCUGAACGCCACGAAGCCGUCAGUCACCUCGGAGCUCUCCAGCCAGGAGCCGGCACAGCCCGGGAGGAGCGGCCCCGGGCACCCGCCACCCGCCCUGGGGCACGGCCGGGGCACCCCCGGGCAGAGGGCGGCGACCGGGCGGCGAAGUAGGACGUUGUUAGUGGGUCACCGCCGUCAGUCAGUCAAAAGAGCAGUGCUGCACUUUACAGGACAGACGAGAAAGGGAAACCGUAUCUCUGCAUUAUUUCUGUUUAAUUAAAAGUGUCAUCAAACACUUUGUGUUCAGACUAAUAAACCAAGCAGGGAUGAGGAAAGAAUGUUUCUUUGUUCCUGUCUCUAGAAGCAGUGGCAAUAAUUUAAAUUAAUAACUGUGGUAAUUAAGAGGUCAUCUAUAGAUCAACCCGAUACCUGCUAUUUCCAAGUUCACCGGGGUCAGCAUUUACAUUAAGUCAUUUGUGGUCAAUAGAGUCCAAUGAAUUCUGCCUUAAUAAAUCAGGGAAAUCAAUCUUGAAUAUCGAGUAGACUUCUAUAUGUUUACUAAAGGCUACUCAAGACGAGUGGGGCUGCAUAAGUGGGAGCCCUCUGGGUUUGCGACCGGAGAAACAAUUCGUGGGGGAAAGGAGGAGCUGCAGGUCAACGCAGGGAGAUGUGACGGGGCUGCCCGCGGCUUCCGCCCCGAUAGCAGCUCCCUUCCCGGGAGCGGGGCAGUCCCGGCUGCGGGGGCUCUGUGAAAGAAGGCAAGCUUUGGCGGGCUUUGGAGGAUCCUGGGGGGGAAAGGGAGGGAGAGGUAAGUGCACACGAGGGCAGCAGGUGACGGCGCGGCCGGGAGCGGGGCUGGGCCCGUCGGGAGCCCCGCCGCAGAUGCCCGGCCUCGGGGCUUGCCCGCACUCCGGAGCAGCUCUGGACAAGAGGCGGCGCAGCAGUAGCAGCAGUCUGUUGCAGUGACCCGAAGCUUAGAGAAGGGGAAAUUAAGCUGCGAAAAGAUAAACAUUAUUUCAAGUCGGAUUUGAAGGAUUAGGGCUUGUAAUAAAGAGUAUUAGGCCCUUUCGAAGAGUUCUUGCAAGGCGACUUUUCCGCCCCUCCUCUCCCACCGGAGAGGACAGGUAUUAUCUGCCUUGGGAACACAUGUGCAGGUUUCCCACGCGUGUCCGCACGGCAGAGCCAGGCCGGGCCUCCCUCCCAGCUGUGUCCCGGCCGCCUUCGCCCGUCGUGCAGGGGAGCGAUCCGGCUUCCUCCGGUUCCGUUUCCCGGGGGCUUUGGAAGAGGCUCCCCGGGGAGGCAGCUCUGCAUCGCCCUCCUGAGCUGCUCACGGGCGCCGAAACCUGCACGGCCCCCGCAGCCCGGGGCCGGCCAGGAGCUCCCUUGAGCGGCCAGCUCUGCCCCCAGCCCUGGAAUCCCCCGGCCGCGAAGCCCGCGGCAGGAGUUAAUUAGGCGGGUGCAGGCCUCGGGCUCUCUUUAAGGCAGGCACGAAGGUAACCUGCAGGAGUCUUUAAGACUUUUGUUUUUUAUACAUUACUUUUACUCCCCUUUUAUUAAAGGUCAAGGGAGCGAGAUGCAGAUUAUCCCGCCCGCCCAGGACUCCCCUGCAAUCUGUCACACCGGCAAGAUAUGUUUCGCAAAUCUCUCAAAAUAUAAUCUCCGGGAAUCAUAUUCAGAAUACUGUUUUGAUUAAAAACCAGAACGGGGAUUGAUGGAAAACUAAUACCGGCAGCGGAGCCUGCGCUCAGGCACAAAACUAAAAUAAGGGGCUCGCACGAACAGAUUCGGCGCCCCCAAAGCCAUAACAAACGUAUUUAAACCGUCUCUGUCUGAGCUUUGCUACGAGAUGGGCUUUUUAAUGCCGCUUCUCUGGGAAGUGAACUCGCGCUGUCCGGCGGAGCGGGGGCAGUCGGGCUCUGCCAGGCGGGCACUCGGAGCCUGCUGCUCGGGGAGAUGGGGCCGGUGCGGGGUGCCCCGGGCCCGUCCGGGCGAGAAGCAAGCCGGGCGGGCACGGUGAAGCCCCCGCGGAGCCGGGGGACCGCAGUAGCGCACCGCUCACACACAUACACACACACAUACACACCCCACCCCCUCCGGGCACCCCACUUGGCUCCGGAGGGUCGGGUCUCCCCCUUUCCGCAGCCCGCGGGGACGCGCUGGCACCGGCCGCCGCAGCCCCGCAUCGCCCCCCAAUUAGCGGCCGCGGGGGCGGGCGGGGGCGGCUCGUUGACGCGUCCCCCGCUGGGGUGGGAAGUUUCUAAAACAAAGUCGCCGGGCUAAUGGCCCCGGGCGGGAGCGGCGGGGCCGCGCACACUCCACUGCGCCCGCUCAAAGCCAGCGCGACCGCGGGGCCGCUGCCGCCUCCGCCGCGCUCGCUAAUGAAGUUUUGUCAAAGACAAUUACGGGCCCGGCGGGGGCAGGAGGCCGCGAUGAAAAGGCGGCUUUGUGCGGCCGAGACGGCGCGGCUCCCCGGCCACCCCCGGCCCUUCCUGCGCCCCCGCGGUGACCCCCGCGCCCGGCCCCGCUCCCCGCGGGGACAGCGGCCCUGGUGCCCGGCCCCCAGGUAAGCGCAGAGACGGGCCGGUGCCGGCAGCGAGACUCCCAGAGCUGCAGUUUGUCACCCGGUCCACCGAUGAGCGAAGCAAGCUCUGAAAAGGGAGGGCUGAGGCAGCGGGCAGCCCCUGCUUCCUCCCGCACCCCUGGCUGAGGGUUUCUGUCUCCUCUCCCCCGCCACAGAGGGGCUGCUGCAGCCAAUUCCUGCUUCAGCGUUCUUGCAUUCAGCUGUUGGGAGAAUUCGUCUGAAAACCACCAAACGAGCUGGCUAAAUCUGUUUAAAUAUACACCGGAGAGAUAGGAAAUUGGGGUCUUGGACUGCAGCUGCCUUCAGCUGCAUCUGAGCCAGAGGAGGUGUGGAAGAACGGGAUAAUCACCAUCUUUCAUCACCUUCCCCAAACUCCCAGCACUGCCUGCUGUCCUCCAUCCCAGGUCCUUGGUCAUCUCACCCCCCUGCCAUCCUCAGCCAACAUGGUCAGCACAAAACACACUGGCACUCUCCUAGAGAGGACAGGGAACCAUUUCUGAGUUGUGAGAAAAUCUGGACAAGACAAGUAACCAGCCAGAUUAUUGCUUCCCAACCUUUGAAGCACAGUCCUCUUUUUAGGAUCAUAAGAGAGAAUAAACAUUCCUUUACUGCUGCACAAGCACAUGAGGAGAAUGGCCCUGGCUCUGAAAUGGUCUGGAUCCCUCACCCCCAGCUGGCUCGUAUUUGCCUGUUGUCCUGUUCCCCUACAGGUUUCCCAUCCCACAAUAAAGGCAUGAAUUUUACUGGUUUUGCAGCAACAAACCCCUUGAAGAUCCCUUUUCAAAGGUGGCUACCACAGAAGCUUUAGCUUGAUGUGGCUAUUGAGGUUUUGGAGCAGUGGGUUGGAGCAAUUAGUUCAAAAUGAUCUCAAAAACUGCACAAGCAGCUCGGCAGGCCAGGUGUCAUUUCAG